CAAAGGUUCCAUUUGCUAAAAAUGCUAAAUUUUAUUAAAUUGUUGUUUAGUUAAUAGUUUAGAGAGAAAGUGACUUCUGGUAAUUAAUAUCUUUUAUUUCACCUUUUCGUAAUUUUCCCCGCCCCAACGAAACCUAUAAUGCUAAAACCCCACAAAAACCCUAAAGUUCCUCCUAACCCUAAUAUUUCACUAUUUUUCUCAGAAAAUGGCGUCUCGAUUUAGAUCUCUCUCAAAACCAACAUUCUCUACCCUCAAAUCCGCCAUUAACAAACCAACCCUUAAACCAAAACCCGCCUCUUCUCUCCUUCCUCCUUGCACUUCUCCGACAUUUUCAAGGUCUGUUUCUCAAUUGGGUUGUCUUCAAUCUCUGCUGCCUCUCCACUCAGCCGUGUCUUCAGCUCGGUUAACGUCGUGUCUAGGCAUCGAUUCAAGGAGUUCUAGGUCGUUGUCUCAGGGUAUGCUUUGCAGUGCAAAUCCAGGAGUUUGAUAAUCUCCAAAAUGUUUGUAAUUUUGUUUCCGGGUAGAUACAAAGAAAGACACAACCUGAGUUGGGGAGCUUUCACAUGGUUUGAUAAGAACUAGGUCUCAGUGUGCCUCGAUAACAUAGCAAAAGUGGAAGGAAUUAGAGCAUGAUGGAUCAUAGUCAUUGCUUUCCAUCUUGUGUUGUCCAUUUGAAGAUUUGUUCUAUUUCAUAAGUGUGUCCUUUUUGUUAUUAAUUGAAUUGAAAUUUCAAGUCUUGGUUGAUGGACAUAACUUACACUGCAAGAAUUGUGUUCACUUUACACAAUUUCGGAAAUUCUCUCUUUAGAUUUCAGUUAUGGAAAUUGAUUGAACUAGUUUACUUUAAA
Molecule: RNA transcript, 848 nt
Organism: Gossypium arboreum
Lineage: Eukaryota; Viridiplantae; Streptophyta; Magnoliopsida; Malvales; Malvaceae
Gene name: protein NONRESPONDING TO OXYLIPINS 2, mitochondrial
Exons: 4
Source: RefSeq, a predicted model, not a curated record